Non-coding RNA from Salvia hispanica, 714 nucleotides. The record is from RefSeq and is a predicted model, not a curated record. NCBI's taxonomy places the organism in Eukaryota, Viridiplantae, Streptophyta, Magnoliopsida, Lamiales, Lamiaceae.
CUUAUUUUUAAGAACAAUCGAGUUGAAGCUUUUCUAUAGUUUUCGAUUUUUUUGAUCAGAAAUGAUGGAAGUGGCUAUUUCCUGCACCUCAAUGGGUAGGAAUCCAUAAAAAUGCUCCUGAUCUGUGAAGAAGAGAAAUGAUGGAAUAGCCAAUUUCCUGACCCUCAAUGUCUUUAGGAUUGAAACAACGCUGAAAAGAUGAUCUGGAGACAAAUUUGCAGUGCAUACAAACUAUUGUAUCAAUAACUUAAAGUGAAACCGGAGAAGAAAACGAUCAAUAUCAAUUUUCAUCCGAAUUCAUGUUAAUAUGUUGCAUUAGGAUAAUUUUGAAUAGAAAAGUUUUUCCAAGGAUUUUCUCUUCAAUUUCUGAUGAAACUUCAUAUGCUCUAACACAUCUAGUUUUGAUUACCCACUUGGAAGUAUAUGGUUGAAGAUCUUUAGCAAAGUAAACAGAGGCAUUGUUGGAAUAUAGAAUCUGAAAUGGGUAUAUAAUGAUCAGCCAAUUUUUCAAGUACAGAAAGUGUAGAAGUUGUCUUAUCUAAGAGGCAAAGCAUGGAAUCUGAAAUAUAAAUAACUCCAGUCUGCUUCAUGUUAUGCAAGAUAAUUAGUGGAUGCUUACUUGUUGUGUUAGAUAGCUGUUGGAUAUUUAUUUGUCUUGGAAUGAUCAAUUUAUAGUUCCCAUAUAAUCUGACACAGCUGCCUAUCUGCCUAUCU